Non-coding RNA from Pelobates cultripes (western spadefoot toad), 730 nucleotides. NCBI's taxonomy places the organism in Eukaryota, Metazoa, Chordata, Amphibia, Anura, Pelobatidae. The record is from the annotation of a GenBank genome assembly.
CCGUCUUGGUACAAGGGAGAACAGAAAUUACAAGAAUAGAUAAAAAACACUAGUUACUGUACUCCAUUUUAAGUAUGUAGAUUGCUACGUCAUUAUAUAGGUGGUAGUGUUGGUUGGGCAGCAUGUGUGUGAGGGUCCUCCUGGUGGCUGUCUCUCCAGUCCUGCAUAUACAAGCCGGGAUGGGGUGGGGGGAAGGGACUUUUAUUAAAUGGGUCCCCACUGUGCCUUUUAGUACUGGUAUGCUUUCUCCAUGAAGUGUUGCCGUGUGUGCUGGGUCCCUAUGUGUGCUUCCCCAGGUAUGUGAUGGCUACGGGUCGUGGUGUGGGGCAUGAUUGGUCAUAUGGGGGGAGACAAGUGCGUGUCGGAGUGAUGUGUGUACGACCCCUAACCAAAGGGAGCCAUGGGGCGGGGAGUUUCAGUUGUUGGUGAUUGUGUUGGUGAGGAGUGCUUCAAUCUCCCAAGACUUAGUGGAGCUGCCAUUGAUGGGCAGGUGUGUCUGGUGUACUUGUGUUCAGUUGGGUGGUGUGUGCUUACACUGCAAGAAAGUAACGGCUGGUGAUUAUAACAAAAACUUAACAAAACCUAGAUCAGAACCGUAAGGUAAUUGCAAAUCUGAGGUACUUGGACAUGUAAGUCUCUUUUGGUGACAGUUCAGGUGUUGGCUCCUGGUUUCCCUCUCGUACGUGGGACAAAGGGAGCAAUUCGUGCUGGGUCCCAGUUGGGCGUCGUG